This 263-nucleotide long non-coding RNA is filed under the name Helianthus annuus (common sunflower). Its description in RNAcentral is "sRNA HanXRQr2_Chr01g0023471". The record is from RNAcentral. Lineage: Eukaryota; Viridiplantae; Streptophyta; Magnoliopsida; Asterales; Asteraceae.
UCUCUCUCGACAUCUAUUACUCAAAAAAAAAAAAAAAGACGACUUCUGCCGCAACUUGCCAGAGAUCGGAGAAGACCCACCAGAGCUCGUCAAGGGCCAUCCACUGCCGUUCCGGUGCUUGGACUGUUAUGGAUGACAACCGUUUCAUUCGCUCGGUUUCUUAAUCUUUACUCGUGCGUUAUUUUACAAGGAAUCGCAAACGCAACCACUGUGAACAGGUACGAAGUGAAGAUUGGACAUAGGAUGGGCCUUAGUUAACAAGA